This 304-nucleotide long non-coding RNA is filed under the name Coffea arabica (coffee). RNAcentral's name for it is "long non-coding RNA (CARA_LNC006551)". The record is from RNAcentral. Lineage: Eukaryota; Viridiplantae; Streptophyta; Magnoliopsida; Gentianales; Rubiaceae.
GUUCAAUCAGCCAAUUCUAGUGGAACUAUGUAUUAGUGGUGAAGAACCCAAAAAAAAAAAUCAUCUAUACUAUAACAAGUGGCUGUUGAAGUAAAUAAUGAAUUUUGCUAAAGAUAUUGGAAAGGAGAAAACAAAGCAUCAAGCAUUCAUGACAAAACUCCAUGAGCUUCCAUUUGCUUCCAAGUUCCAGCUAUCUAAAUAUCAAUCAAAUCUGCCAAGAAUGAAUUAUAUUAGAAUUUAAUAAUAUUUUGUAUAAAUAGUAGAAUGACAAUCUUGUUAAAUCACAGGUAACGUACCCGCAGUU